Molecule: ribosomal RNA, 440 nt
Filed under: uncultured bacterium
Lineage: Bacteria
Description: bacterial SSU rRNA
Rfam family: Bacterial small subunit ribosomal RNA
Source: RNAcentral
CCUANGGGAGGCAGCAGUGGGGAAUAUUGGACAAUGGGGGCAACCCUGAUCCAGCAAUGCCGCGUGAGUGAUGAAGGCCUUAGGGUUGUAAAGCUCUUUCGACGGGGACGAUGAUGACGGUACCCGUAGAAGAAGCCCCGGCUAACUUCGUGCCAGCAGCCGCGGUAAUACGAAGGGGGCUAGCGUUGUUCGGAAUUACUGGGCGUAAAGGGCGCGUAGGCGGUCUUGUAAGUCAGAUGUGAAAGCCCCGGGCUCAACCCGGGAAUAGCAUUUGAUACUGCGAGGCUUGAGUCCGGGAGAGGAUGGCGGAAUUCCCAGUGUAGAGGUGAAAUUCGUAGAUAUUGGGAAGAACACCGGUGGCGAAGGCGGCCAUCUGGACCGGUACUGACGCUGAGGCGCGAAAGCGUGGGGAGCAAACAGGAUUAGAUACCCGUNUANUC